Oncorhynchus tshawytscha (Chinook salmon) is the source of this 5172-nucleotide long non-coding RNA. Lineage: Eukaryota; Metazoa; Chordata; Actinopteri; Salmoniformes; Salmonidae. The record is from Ensembl.
GGGAAGGAGAAGACUAGGCGAUAGAGGAGUCACUGGGGUCUCCUGGGAAUGGUUAAUAUUUGAAGCAUAUAAGGUUUAUUUUUGAGGCCUCUGCGUGUUUGUUCAGUGGCUAAUGAGUAGUACUGGCAGCAGGCGGGCGGGCAGGCAGGCAGGCAGGCGGGCAGGCAGGCGGGCAGCUAGCUUAGUGGUCGUAGUAAACGGGAGCUAUGUUACCUUCUGCAUUUAGGAGCGCCCGGUGAGGAGAGCUGAUGUACGUAGUGGUGGACUAUUUUUGUCGGCUGUAUCGACUCAACCAUUCAGAGCCUGGCACUCAUGUACAUGACCCUGGGCCAAGAACAAGAGUAUGUAAAGCACUGCACGGCCACCUCUCUCUCCAAUACACGUACGUUUAUUUAUUUAUUUUUUCACAGUCGGCUUGGCAGGAUGUCCGAUCCAAAGUUCUCUCCUGUAGCAGGAACUGCUGAAAGCAUAACAAAAAAACAGGGACUAACUUGAAGGUGGAACGCAAACAAAUAUAUUUUCUGUCAUUUCCGAUAAACAUUUGGUCGCAUUUUUGUAGAAUCAUUUGGUGGUCGGUUUGUGCAAAACAUUUAGGGUGAAUACUUUGGAUUCUUCUACGAACUUCAAAAUAUAGUUUUAUUAAAAUGUAAUUUUUUUAUUUUAAAAAAUGUGUCACAUGCACGGAAAACAACAGGUUCACCUUACAGUGAUAUGCUUACUUACAAUCCUUAACCAACAAUGCCGUUUUACAAAAUAUUGAAAAAUAACUAAUAUUUAGAGCACAUUUUGUUUUAAUUUUGAAUUAUCUUGCGAGAAAAUGUUGAAAUGUAAUCUAACCAAUUAAUAUCCUAAUGUUAAUAAGUUAAUAAGUUAAGACCAAGCCACAAUGGUAAAUAGCUUGUAACCUUCUGCUUAACAUAUCUACUUGAGUAUUGGUGUGUUUCUACAUAUACUGUAAGUUGGUGUGUGUUUACAUUUGUACAUAAUAUAUAAUAAUAUAUGCCAUUUAGCAGAUGCUUUUAUCUAAUGUGUGCAUACAUUUCACAUACUGCUGGUCCAACUGAGCUACAGAGAGAACUAUAUGAAUGUUGGUGUGUGUUUCUACAUGUGUUUACAUUGUAUCCCCUGAUACCAGUCAGUCAGGAGGUGACUCAUUCAGGAGGAGUACAUCACUCCUCUGCCAGACUUCCGACUAUGAACGGUCCGUUUUCAGUUAGAUUGAUAUUUCUACAUGUGUGUGUUGACAUUUUAUACCUUGUAGUUUCUCAUCAGGUGUCUCAGUCGGGAGGACAGUGGGAUCAUCAAUCCUCUCAGAGUUAGACCUCAGACUAUGAACUGUCCAUUUUCAGUUAUCAUGGUACCGGUGCUGUGUGCCUGUCAAGUACAGUACUAUGAUAACUGAAGAUUGGCAGUGCCAUCGCAGUGGUUCUCUGUGCAACCUUCUGAGGCAGACAGGCCUAAAGAUCACUGGUUUAUUUCAAUUCUGAGUAUCAACAUUCUAGAAUCUACUAUAGGUAUUAUCUGUUUUCUGAUUCUGAAUUCUCAGUAAUGAUGUUGUCCUAUUUAGAAUUUCCCUGAUGUGUAUAUUUUGUUGUCUAUGGGGGGAUCAUGGAGACCUUUGAGCUGCUAUUUAGUUGUUUGAAGGCAUCCCAAAGCACACACUGUCCUGGGUCAUCUCUGACAUCACACAGGGGCAGAGGUCACAGUGCUUCUCAGUAUUCCAUUGUGUUUGACUUCCCCUCUGGCCUUCACGGCCUGUUUGUAGGAUGCUCUCGUGUUUUGUAUUUGACUGUGUUGUAAAAUAACAAAUAAUCUCUUCGUGAGCUAGCUUGUUGCACUGCUGUAUUUGAGUUGCCAAGCCACCCACCUGAAAUAGUCUCACUUUCUCACUCACUCCCAGGUUUGACAUACUCAGACACGACAGACUUCUUCCAGAUGAGGUUUAAGAUGGAGACUCCGACAUCAUCAAAUCUGUCGUUCUGCCCCUGAACAAGGCAGUUAACCCACUGUUCCUAUGCUGUCAUUGAAAAUAAGAAUUUGUUCUUAACUGACUUGCCUAGUUAAAUAAAGGUCAAAUCAAAAAAAAUCUUUGGAGGACAAGAGGUAAGGAGGAGACCAAGUACCGAUGACCUGUGUUGAGAGCCGGGUUUACCAACAUCAGCAAAUCAAUAUUUUUAUACCAGAGUCGUUCUUGAAUUACGGUGGCAUUUGGGUAUGGCGUAAUUAAAAACAACAUGCUUUCUAGAUUUGUAUUUAUUGAAAUGUAUUGACCAUUAGGAUAACAUUGUGCCACCAGUAGGAGUCGUAACACCAAUGAGAAUUUUGUUUAUUGAGGAUUUUCUUAAAUGGAGGCCACGAUACUUAAAUCUAAGAUCAUUAACCCAUAAAAUAGUUGACUAAAGGGAUAUGAUUAAUAAUUGAGCUCAUAAUGUUAUUUCCCUUUUUAAAUGGACUAACCCCAAGUGACACUGGAUUCAGACACACCACAUUAUCAAUGGAAUCCUCAAAUGUAUGACAUAAUAAAAAAUAGUGUGAUUAGCUAACAAUUUUCUUUAAUAAAGACGUCUCCCCCAAUGUUUUCCACUGGAGGGAAUGGUCGAGGUCCUUGUAUAUCUUUGUAAUGAGUGGUUUUUCAGGCGGUAACUCCAAGGAAAUAAAACUGAGGGAAAGAUAUAGUAGUAAAAAUAUAUAUAUUUUUAAUAGCCUUUGUUUUCAUUGAUCUAAACAAUAUAUUAAAUACCUUUUUCAUCUUCUAACAUUCAAAAUAAUAUUUAGCUCUAAAUCCCCAAAAUGUCACUACAACUUCACACAUCACUACCUGGACAAGCCAAUGUGAUUACUUGCCCUAAGUACUUUAUACUGCAAAACUUUCUGUUAAUACAUUAUUUAAUGGACUUGCAUUACAGUAGCUAAGAGGUGGCGAAGUAUGUCUAUGAUAAGACGCUGCUCUACCAUCUUGACAGCACUGUCAACAAGGUAGGUCCUACAGGCCUACGACUGUUCAGUCGUGUGGUCAGGUGCCACAAAAAAGGACAUUGGAAAAUUGCAUUUGUUUCAGAACAGGGCAGCGCGGCUGGCCCUUGGAUGUACACAUAGAGCUAAUAUUAAUAAUAUGCAUGUCAAUCUCUCCUGGUUCAAAAUGGAGGAGAGAUGGACUUUAUCACUACUUGUAUUUAUGAGAGGUAUUGACAUGUUGAAUGCACCUAGCCGUCUGUUUGAACUCCUGGGACACAGCUCGGACACCCAGGCAUAUCCCACAAGACAUGCCACAAGAGGUCUCUUCACAGUCCCCAAGUCCAGAACAGACUAUGGAAAGCACACAGUACUAAAUAGAGCCAUGACUACAUGGAACUCUAUUCCACAUCUCGUAACUCAUGCAAGCAGUAAAAUUAGAUACAAAAAUAUAUAUUUUUAAUAUAUUUUUUAAAAUCUUUUAAACACCUUAUUGAACAUCGGGGACUGUGAAUCAAUACAUUCACAGUCCCCACAUUCACAGUCACCACAUUCACAGUCCCCUGUUUAUGGAGCAUAAACACACGAUAGCAUACGCACUAUAUAGUCAUGUGCACAUGGAUUUUGUACGGUAUAUAUGUGGUGCAGUAGGGGACCUGAGGGCACACAGUCUGAAUGUAAUGUUUUUAUAAUUGUAUGAACUGCCUUCAUUUUGCUGCCUUGGCAGCAGCUAAUGGGGGUACAUAAUAAAUACAAAUUGUUUUAUUAUUGUCUAACUAUUUGUCCAUUUUUCAUGGUUGCAAAGGGACACAUGCCACCACAAUUCAAGAAUGAACCAUGUAUGAUUCUGUGGCACUCUCACCCGUGUCUCCGAGGCACUUUGGUAUGCCAAGAUACCUGUCUGUAGGCUAUGUUGUUGGAGUGUUCUCUCUCUGACUCUCCUCCAAAAUUGCAUUGGGUCUUGAUUCUUAUUCGUACCUUAAUGUGCCUUUCAUUGUUGUUACUAACUGUGUUCAUAUUUAUUUAGUUAUGUUGCCGAUAAUGAUCCUUCCAGUUUUCAUCAUCUGGAUUCUCUCCUGCUGUAGAACAUUAAAUGAACAUCCCUUCCUCCGUAGGAUCCAUUUCAGUAAUUCAGCAGGGUCAAUAGAUGGGUAUGUGCAUACCGUAUGCCCUGUGAUACUGUAAUCAGGGCUCGUUUGGAGUCCCUUUCACUGACUCCCUGAGGCGCACAGCCAUGGUUAAUAUCAAAUCAAAUGUAUUUAUAAAGCCCUUCUUACAUCAGCUGAUAUCUCAAAGUGCUGUACAGAAACCCAGCCUAAAACCCCAAACAGCAAGCAAUGCAGGUGUAGAAGCACAAUAUGUAUGUCUAUGGUGCCUGCCCAGGGUUAAUAUGUAUGUCUAUGGUGCCUCACAGGGUUAAUAUGUAUGUCUAUGGUGCCUGCCCACGGUUAACAUGUAUGUCUAUGGUGCCUCCCCAGGGUUAAUAUGUGUGUCUAUGGUGCCUCCCCAGGGUUAAUAUGUAUGUCUAUGGUGCCUCCCCAGGGUUAAUAUGUAUGUCUAUGGUGCCUCCCCAGGGUUAAUAUGUAUGUCUAUGGUGCCUCCCCAGGGUUGACAUGUAUGUCUAUGGUGCCUCCCCAGGGUUGACAUGUAUGUCUAUGGUGCCUCCCCAGGGUUAACAUGUAUGUCUAUGGUGCCUGCCCAGGGUUAAUAUAUAUGUCUAUGGUGCCCGCCCAUGGUGACAGGCCGUCAGCUACAGUAGCUGUUCUACAUAGCCAACAGUGCCCUGCAGCAGCAUCAGAACGCCUCAGUGGCUCAGCAAAGGCCUCCCUCCACCUACUGCCCAUGGACCUAACCUUUAAUGUUUGCAGAUCUGUAUGGCGGAAGCUUCACCUCUACCCUGCUAAUAUCUAUCCAGACCCUUCAGAUCGGCAAACAUGUCCAUAUUAGGGCCAAGGGGAAGGGGUAGGUAGAGAUUGAAUUGAGACCAGCUGUAGUCGUCAAUGUGCUGAAAGAAGAAACCUUGUAUGCCUUCAUUAUCCACACAGGGCUGCUUCAACAGCCACAGGGUGACGCUAGCUAUUUGUCUAACAGUCCUCUGGUACUGUACUGUGUAGUUGUAUGUAAACAUGUGAAGAUAUACCGUGGUACGGUAUGGAACUGUAACCUAUAGUUAUAUGUAACUAGCCAUUUAUAAAGUUUCUCUGAUUUGUGAAAAUAUAA